Molecule: long non-coding RNA, 1240 nt
Filed under: Corvus moneduloides (New Caledonian crow)
Lineage: Eukaryota; Metazoa; Chordata; Aves; Passeriformes; Corvidae
Description: lncRNA (ENSCMUG00000001834.2)
Source: RNAcentral
GGAAACUGUCAGCUCAUCAUUCCCAGAUGUUCUAAUCAGCUCUAGUUAAAAUACUUGAACAUUUUUAACCAAAGAUUAUCAUAACUGAGGAUUACGUAGCUCUGAUGGUGAGACCAUGCCAAAGUGCGUGAUGUGUGUGUUGCAUACCAGAACGAAAAAGAGCAGCAGAUCUGAGCACUGGCACCAGCCUGUGAAAAGCUGUAUUGCACAAGGGAAAACAAAAGCAGCCCAGCUCCCUCUGCAGUGAGUGACAUCCUAUGGUGUGAUCUGAAACUCUGCUAAAGGAGAGUGCGCUUAGGAAAGGGAAAGUGAAGCUAUUGGUGAGACUCAUUGCACCAGGCUCUUAUGAAAUCAGAUAGAUUAAUAGAAUAUGGUGUUAUAAUGGUUUUGGUUUAUGAUAUGAGAGAGUUCAUGGGAGAGCUAAACAGCCUGUGCUUUAAGAAAACAUCAUCAGAUAGAAGUAUAAGAGCCUCCUGCUUCCUCUCCAACAUCGCAUGGAUUCCACGCUUGAAACAGUGAGCACCUUCUCCAUGUAAAAAACUCUGAAAAUUGCGGGUCAAAGAUCACCUCACUUCUUGCAGUCGUUGAGUAGUCUGGAAGUGCAAAAUGGCAAGAAUAGCAGUUUGUGUUUGGGAACAUACUGCUAAGGAAGAACAUGAGUGUUUGAGAAGGAUAUUCCAGAUGAAGAAGAACAACUUGCCAGUGGACUGCUGAGGCAUCUCUAGAGACUUGCAUUGGAAGGAAGAGGGAGUUUUCUGCAAGAAAUGGAAAAGUAUGUCUGAACAACUGAGGCUGGAAAUGGAGAACAUGUCUUGGAGUUCCCUGCACAAGAUUCCUGUUUCCAGUCUCACUGUGUCUGGCUGUCCUUGGAGCACUCAUGCCCGUUGCAGUGAGCAGAAGGGAGCCCUGGUUGGGUGCUGUUCUGAGCAUACAGGGCCACUGGUGUCCCUACAGCAGUAUGGCAGAGCACUGCAUCAGCCUUGCUCACAGCUGGGAGGAGGACAGCCUCACCAGCAGCCUGAGCAGGAGUGAGGAGAAGGGAAGUUUUGUGCUCUUCACACUGCAGGCGAAACAUCUUUGCAUGAACUCUGCGAAAAGGUGAGUUUCAUUUUUAUCUGUUCAUUCUUGAAAGCAAGUUAAUUUUCCAUCAUUGAGCUAGGUCUCACCCCUGGAGAGGUGGUAAAACAGUUUUCUAUCUGAGAUGUUAAAGCAAAAUAACGAGGUGCUCCAAGGACUCAAG